UUCUUUUCGUGUCAUUUCUAGAAAGUAUGUCGGCAAAUAUUGAUCAAUUAAAUCUUAAACUUGCUCCUUUGAAAUCCAAAUUGGAGAAACAAUUCACUUUUAAUGUUUUAAUUUUGAUUUUGUAUUUUUUAUAUGCUACAUAAGUGGCCUAAAGAAUUCCAUUCAGUCAUCUGCGGAAGAAUUUAUGAGAACAACAACCGUUUUAAUUGUGAUCACAGACCUGAAGUUGCUGUAGCAAUAUAAAGUGAGUAACAGAUAAAUGGUAAUAGGGCAAAUAUUUCUUCUUCUUCCUUCUAUUUCCUUACAGCUGACCAAGAAUACCUCCUUGAAAUCAGACAACAGCCCAUUCUUUAUGAAAUUUCAACAAAGAAGAAUGUGAAAGGACUUAAUGACGUAUUAAUUAGGCAAGCCCAGAAAUUACGUGUUCAUACAACUGAGAGUAUGGUUUAACUAGCCUGUUUUUCUUCAACACCUUUUCAGGUCAACGAUACUUUUGGUAAUGGUUCGUUAUGCUUUUUUGCUUCCCCCCCUCCCCUACAUAUUCAUAAUUUUUUAAUCCCUUAUCCGUACUUCUUUUGUAGAAUAUUGCAAAGCAAAAAUAGAGUUUUUCAGACCCUUACUCUAACUAAAUUUUCAUUUUCUUUGUUUUAGGAACAGUCUCAAGGCCAAUUCACUGUUUUUUCUGAUAUUGACUGGAGAUUCUGAAGGCCAAGACUGUUUCCCUCUUUCCAGUAACAUAUUUAAAUUGAUUUGAAAAUGCCUCUAAAAGGUAGGAAAACUUUCAAUUCGAACAAACGAUCAUUCGCCUCAAAAAAUAAUAAAAAACGAAAAGUAAACCCGAUUCUAUUUUCUAUGAUUUAAUAUAAUAAUUAAUUGUUGAAGUAUUGUCGUCCAGUAUUGAACAUCCAAUAUUUAACCUGCAUCCAGAAUUGUCGUCAAAUACGCAAGCUCCUAUAUUAUACCUUCAUUAUAAAGAGAUACCAUCUUCCCAACAGCUAGUGAACUUUGAAAAAGACCCAACAGUUGCUUUAUUAGCUUUGGCUGUAAAUUCUGGACAAAACAGAUUUUCCGCGUCAGUUAAGCUUUAUGGGUCUACUCCGGAAGGAGAAAGAAAUUUACCUAUAGAACUAAAACGUGAAGUUAAAGGGAAUUUUGACAUUCGUGAUAGCGGUAGAAUCGUCGAUGAAUUUCAGCAGCUUUUUUACAAAGACUCCCUUCUUUUGGGUUGUGCUUGCUGCGGAAUUAUAGCUUUCCAAAUGAACAAAGUGCUCUACCUUCCAGUUCCUGUUGCUGAAUUAGAUUUGCUUAAAUUAAACUAAGAACGUCAAUUGUUUUUU
Long non-coding RNA from Daphnia magna, 1337 nucleotides. RefSeq lists it as uncharacterized. The record is from RefSeq and is a predicted model, not a curated record. Lineage: Eukaryota; Metazoa; Arthropoda; Branchiopoda; Diplostraca; Daphniidae. The transcript has 2 exons.